AUUGAACGCUGGCGGAAUGCUUUACACAUGCAAGUCGAACGGCAGCACGGGAGCUUGCUCCUGGUGGCGAGUGGCGAACGGGUGAGUAAUAUAUCGGAACGUACCCCGUCGUGGGGGAUAACUCUCCGAAAGGAGUGCUAAUACCGCAUACGACCUGAGGGUGAAAGCGGGGGACCUGCAAGGGCCUCGCGCGAUGGGAGCGGCCGAUAUCGGAUUAGCUAGUUGGUGAGGUAAAGGCUCACCAAGGCGACGAUCCGUAGCGGGUCUGAGAGGACGACCCGCCACACUGGAACUGAGACACGGUCCAGACUCCUACGGGAGGCAGCAGUGGGGAAUUUUGGACAAUGGGGGAAACCCUGAUCCAGCCAUUCCGCGUGAGUGAAGAAGGCCUCGGUGU
This 397-nucleotide ribosomal RNA is filed under the name uncultured bacterium. Its description in RNAcentral is "bacterial SSU rRNA". It matches the Rfam family "Bacterial small subunit ribosomal RNA", at positions 29 to 423 of the family's 1533-position model. The record is from RNAcentral.